UACGGAGGGCGCAAGCGUUGUUCGGAAUUAUUGGGCGUAAAGCGCGUGUAGGCGGUCCGGAAAGUUGGGUGUGAAAUCCCUUGGCUCAACUGAGGAAUUGCAUUCAAAACUACCGGACUUGAGUGCGGGAGAGGGAAGUGGAACUCCUAGUGUAGAGGUGAAAUUCGUAGAUAUUAGGAGGAACACCUGUGGCGAAGGCGGCUUCCUGGACCGACACUGACGCUGAGACGCGAAAGCGUGGGGAGCAAACAGGAUUAGAUACCCGAGUAGUCC
RNAcentral lists this ribosomal RNA (273 nucleotides) under uncultured prokaryote. RNAcentral's name for it is "partial 16S ribosomal RNA". It matches the Rfam family "Bacterial small subunit ribosomal RNA", at positions 524 to 796 of the family's 1533-position model. The record is from RNAcentral.